Molecule: long non-coding RNA, 380 nt
Organism: Thalassophryne amazonica
Lineage: Eukaryota; Metazoa; Chordata; Actinopteri; Batrachoidiformes; Batrachoididae
Exons: 4
Source: RefSeq, a predicted model, not a curated record
UAUUUAUUUGAAUAGGGACAAUGCACAUUAAUGAACAUCAGUAUAAAAACAAAUGUAAAUAUGCCGGAUUAUAGCUACAAAGCUGGUUUUCAUCCGUAGUCCCUAGGCAGGCAAAGAAAAUAUAAUAUACAAAAUAAACAACACAAGGGAAUGUUAAAAGUCUAGUGGUCACAUGACUGGUUUGUUUUCAGCCAUAGUUUGAGUUAAGCUCUAAACCUGAUCAAUGUAGGGCUCUCCCGUAUGUGUAGAGGAAGACUGUUCCAGAUGUUAGUGGCCCUCACAGAGAGAGUGUUCUGUCCAAAACUUGUUCUCCUGUGGGGGACCUCACAGUCUCCUCUGGAGGAGGCCCUGAUUGUAAUUCACAAACAUGAAAAAGCCAC